GAUGAAGAACGCAGUGAAAUGCGAUAAGUAAUGUGAAUUGCAGAAUUCAGUGAAUCAUCGAAUCUUUGAACGCACCUUGCGCCCUUUGGCUAUUCCAAAGGGCAUGCCUGUUUGAGUAUCAUGAACACCUCAACUCUCAUGGUCUGCCAUGAUGAGCAUGGACUUUGGAGGUCUGCUGGCCUGUGGUCAGCUCCUCUCAAAUGAAUCAGCUUUCCGGUGUUUGGUGGCAUCAUGGGUGUGAUAAAUAUCUACGCUUGUGGUUUUCCACCAGGUAACCUUCAGUGAUGGGGGUUCGCUGGGGCUCAUAAAUGUCUCUCCUCAGCGAAGACAGCUUUGUGAAUGUUUGAUCUCAAAUCAGGUAGGACUACCCGCUGAACUUAAGCAUAUCAAUAAGCGGAGGA
This 401-nucleotide unclassified non-coding RNA is filed under the name soil metagenome. RNAcentral's name for it is "partial contains 5.8S ribosomal RNA, internal transcribed spacer 2, and large subunit ribosomal RNA". The stretch from base 1 to 121 matches the Rfam family "5.8S ribosomal RNA", at positions 35 to 154 of the family's 154-position model. The record is from RNAcentral.